This 60-nucleotide transfer RNA is filed under the name Loxodonta africana (African savanna elephant). It matches the Rfam family "tRNA", at positions 14 to 71 of the family's 71-position model. Rfam says of the family: Transfer RNA (tRNA) molecules are approximately 80 nucleotides in length. Their secondary structure includes four short double-helical elements and three loops (D, anti-codon, and T loops). Lineage: Eukaryota; Metazoa; Chordata; Mammalia; Proboscidea; Elephantidae. The record is from Rfam by way of RNAcentral.
AGUAGUUAUAGUGUUCAGCUGAUAACUGAAAGGUCAGUGGUUCAAACCCACUAGCUACUA